RNAcentral lists this transfer RNA (235 nucleotides) under Marmota monax (woodchuck). RNAcentral describes it as "tRNA.Thr". The stretch from base 165 to 233 matches the Rfam family "tRNA". The record is from RNAcentral. Lineage: Eukaryota; Metazoa; Chordata; Mammalia; Rodentia; Sciuridae.
GGGGUUGUGGCUCAGAGGUAGAGUGCUCGCCUAGUAUGUUCAAGACCCUGGGCUCGAUGUUCAGCACCACAUAAAAAUAAAUAAGUAAAAUAAAGGUAUUGUGUUAAAAAGAAGAAGAAGAAGAUAGAUUUAUUUUAAAGAAAAGAAAAGAAAACCCAGGGGCUGGGGUUGUGGCUCAGCAGUAGAGCACUUGUCUCCCACGUGAAAGGGCCUGGGUUCGAUCCUCAGCACCACA